CCUACGGGUGGCAGCAGUGGGGCAUAUUGCGCAAUGGGCGAAAGACUGACGCAGCGACGCCGCGUGCGGGAUGAAGGUCUUCGGAUCGUUAACCUCUGUCAGCAGGGCAGAACGGUCACUGUGCUAAUCAGCAGUGAAUUGACGGUACCUGCAAAGGUAGCAUCGGCUAACUCCGUGCAAGAAGCCGCGGUAAUAAGGAGGGUGCGAGCGUUGAUCGGUAUGACUGGGCGUAAAGCGCGCGUUGGGGGUAUGUCAAGUGAAGGGUGAAAUCCCCGCGCUCAACGUGGGAACUGCCUUUGAAACUGGCAAACGGGAGUGUGUGAGAGGAUAGUGGAAUGCCAGGUGUAGGAGUGAAAUCCGUAGAUAUCUGGAGGAACAUCAGUUGCGAAGGCGACUAUCUGGCACAUAACUGACGCUGAGGAGCGAAAGCGUGGGUAGCAAACAGGAUUAGAUACCCUAGUAGUC
Molecule: ribosomal RNA, 465 nt
Filed under: uncultured bacterium
Lineage: Bacteria
Description: partial 16S ribosomal RNA
Rfam family: Bacterial small subunit ribosomal RNA
Source: RNAcentral